RNAcentral lists this transfer RNA (74 nucleotides) under Tethya wilhelma. RNAcentral's name for it is "trnS". It matches the Rfam family "tRNA". From Rfam's summary of the family: Transfer RNA (tRNA) molecules are approximately 80 nucleotides in length. RNAcentral also lists the same sequence under 1 other name. The record is from RNAcentral. Lineage: Eukaryota; Metazoa; Porifera; Demospongiae; Tethyida; Tethyidae.
GAUGAGGUGGCUGAGUACGGUAAAGCGGCAGUUUGCUAAAUUGUAGGGCGCGGGUUCAAAUCCCGCUUUCAUCG